This 639-nucleotide ribosomal RNA is filed under the name Staphylococcus aureus. RNAcentral describes it as "bacterial SSU rRNA". It matches the Rfam family "Bacterial small subunit ribosomal RNA", at positions 34 to 659 of the family's 1533-position model. The record is from RNAcentral. Lineage: Bacteria; Bacillati; Bacillota; Bacilli; Caryophanales; Staphylococcaceae.
CGGGCCAGUUGCGCUGCUAUACAUGCAGUCGAGCGAACGGACGAGAAGCUUGCUUCUCUGAUGUUAGCGGCGGACGGGUGAGUAACACGUGGAUAACCUACCUAUAAGACUGGGAUAACUUCGGGAAACCGGAGCUAAUACCGGAUAAUAUUUUGAACCGCAUGGUUCAAAAGUGAAAGACGGUCUUGCUGUCACUUAUAGAUGGAUCCGCGCUGCAUUAGCUAGUUGGUAAGGUAACGGCUUACCAAGGCAACGAUGCAUAGCCGACCUGAGAGGGUGAUCGGCCACACUGGAACUGAGACACGGUCCAGACUCCUACGGGAGGCAGCAGUAGGGAAUCUUCCGCAAUGGGCGAAAGCCUGACGGAGCAACGCCGCGUGAGUGAUGAAGGUCUUCGGAUCGUAAAACUCUGUUAUUAGGGAAGAACAUAUGUGUAAGUAACUGUGCACAUCUUGACGGUACCUAAUCAGAAAGCCACGGCUAACUACGUGCCAGCACCCGCGGUAAUACGUAGGUGGCAAGCGUUAUCCGGAAUUAUUGGGCGUAAAGCGCGCGUAGGCGGUUUUCUAAGCCUGAUGUGAAAGCCACGGCUCAACCGUGUAGGGUUUUGGCAACUGGAACUCACGCUCCCAUGUAGGA